Poecilia reticulata (guppy) is the source of this 329-nucleotide long non-coding RNA. RefSeq lists it as uncharacterized. NCBI's taxonomy places the organism in Eukaryota, Metazoa, Chordata, Actinopteri, Cyprinodontiformes, Poeciliidae. The record is from RefSeq and is a predicted model, not a curated record.
CAGCAAGACAACCACCGCGUCCACUGGGCGCGCCAUCAAGGUCGCUCGGAUAAACUCCAGCCCUAAACAGGAAGCGAAAAGACCAGCAAAGGUUUUCUUACUUGUAUUUCACUCCAUCCAUCAUCCAUUCAACUCUGACCAACUUCUCGUCAGACCGGACAGAAAUCACAUGUGGUGUACCCCAAGGUGAACCCAUUCAAAUACUGAACAGGAUAAAUCAAACAGAAGGGAAAAAGGAAAAAGAUGCGAUCCUGUCUGGUUCUAAUAGUGAAGCCAUCCGACCUGCUAGAGCUCCAGAGACGGUUCCUUUCCCCUGACAGUUCAGCACA